GCUCUUGUCUGCGAAUGAUGUUUGGCGAUUUUUUUUUGUUUUUUUUUUUUGUUUCAUUAUCUGUAGCUUUCGGCACAUUAUCUCAACCUUCGUUUCAGAAACCAAGUUGCAUCUGUCUCGAUAAAUUAGACGAUCGGCAAUGGUUGUUUUGCGCUACGAUGCUGCGACGGCAUAACCUAGUUGGUCUGUCGGCAGCAAGUAGCACGGCUGUAUGGGUGACUUGGAUAGCCAUCGUGAAUUUUUCCUCCGCAUGUCAUAUGUAAAGCGUUGACUGUUUUACUCCCGCCAAUGUAGCACUAGAGUGUACUAGAAUGGGCCAAUCUAGUACACUGUAGUAGCACGCACAGAGUUUGCAGAGUACGCAAUACGGUACGCAAGAACGCAUCAGCCAGUCACGCCAAUCCAUGCCAAGCCAAUCGUUCCGCGUGUAAAAGCAUUGGGAAAAGAUAGCGUAAACAUUUCUGUUAUUCCAUUUCUAGCCAGCGUGGCUCAGCUCUGCCAGUCACAAGAGCGGUGCAGCAUUAACAGGAUUUGAUUACCACAGAACUAGAGCAAGCGCGUCAUGACUGUGAGACGGAGAUCUUCCAUGAAUCGGUAGCAGCUCAGCGACAGCGGCAUCUCCGAGGGCGCAGCGUCAAGGGCAAUGUCGUGGCGAAGGUUUAUGCCGGGACGCGCGGCGCUGAUCACCACUGGCUGGAUGACGUUCAUCUACUGGGGCUGGCUCAAGAUCGCCCGGAACGACAUGUUCGUGCCUGUCGACGAGAGGCAGCCUGUGCCGCACGAGCUGCUGAUCAGCUUCCUUUCUAGGCGAUGGAACAGCUCCGAAUCAUCAACGCCGAGCGGCGACAAUGACAAUAAAGAAAGGAAGGAGGCGUG
Molecule: long non-coding RNA, 876 nt
Organism: Dermacentor silvarum
Lineage: Eukaryota; Metazoa; Arthropoda; Arachnida; Ixodida; Ixodidae
Exons: 2
Source: RefSeq, a predicted model, not a curated record